GUAGGGAAUAUUGGGCAAUGGUCGGAAGACUGACCCAGCCAUGCCGCGUGCAGGAAGACGGCCCUCUGGGUUGUAAACUGCUUUUAUCUGGGAAGAAAAAGGCCAUGCGUGGCAAAUUGCCGGUACCAGAUGAAUAAGCACCGGCUAACUCCGUGCCAGCAGCCGCGGUAAUACGGAGGGUGCGAGCGUUGUCCGGAUUUAUUGGGUUUAAAGGGUGCGUAGGCGGCUGAUUACGUCAGCGGUGAAAGACUUCGGCUUAACCGGCGCAGUGCCGUUGAUACUGGUUGGCUUGAGUGUCGGAGGGGUACAUGGAAUUGAUGGUGUAGCGGUGAAAUGCAUAGAUACCAUCAGGAACACCGAUAGCGAAGGCAUUGUACUGGCCGACAACUGACGCUGAUGCACGAAAGUGUGGGGAUCGAACAGGAUUAGAUACCCCAGUAGUCC
RNAcentral lists this ribosomal RNA (444 nucleotides) under uncultured bacterium. RNAcentral describes it as "partial 16S ribosomal RNA". It matches the Rfam family "Bacterial small subunit ribosomal RNA", at positions 354 to 796 of the family's 1533-position model. The record is from RNAcentral.